Molecule: small RNA, 64 nt
Filed under: Vibrio cholerae O1 biovar El Tor str. N16961
Lineage: Bacteria; Pseudomonadati; Pseudomonadota; Gammaproteobacteria; Vibrionales; Vibrionaceae
Source: RNAcentral
GAUUGAUCACGUUUUGUUGGCAUGGUCGCGUAAAACAUAACCAAAAAGCGGCUUUUAUCUGUCA